This 18-nucleotide ribosomal RNA is filed under the name Tricholoma mutabile. Its description in RNAcentral is "partial 28S ribosomal RNA". Lineage: Eukaryota; Fungi; Basidiomycota; Agaricomycetes; Agaricales; Tricholomataceae. The record is from RNAcentral.
CUCAAAUCAGGAGAGACC